GCGUGAGUGAAGAAGGCCUUAGGGUUGUAAAACUCUUUCGCCGAUGAAGAUGAUGACUGUAGUCGGUAAAGAAGCCCCGGCUAACUCCGUGCCAGCAGCCGCGGUAAUACGGAGGGGGCUAGCGUUGUUCGGAAUUACUGGGCGUAAAGCGCACGUAGGCGGUCUAUUUAGUUAGGGGUGAAAGGCCUGGGCUCAACCUAGGAACUGCCUUUAAUACUGAUAGGCUAGAGUCCGGGAGAGGGUAGCGGAAUUCCAAGUGUAGAGGUGAAAUUCGU
Molecule: ribosomal RNA, 275 nt
Filed under: uncultured bacterium
Lineage: Bacteria
Description: partial 16S ribosomal RNA
Rfam family: Bacterial small subunit ribosomal RNA
Source: RNAcentral